UUCGCAAUGCCCGAAAGGGUGACGAAGCGACGCCGCGUGUGGGAAGAAGGCCUUCGGGUUGUAAACCACUGUCGGGAGUUAGGAAAUGUAAGGGUGCUAAUAGUAUCCUUACUUGACUAAGGCUCCGGAGGAAGCCACGGCUAACUCUGUGCCAGCAGCCGCGGUAAUACAGAGGCGGCAAGCGUUGUUCGGAAUUAUUGGGCGUAAAGAGCACGUAGGCGGCCUUGUAAGUCAGUUGUGAAAGCCUUCUGCUUAACGGAAGAACUGCAUCUGAUACUGCAAGGCUAGAGUGCGGAAGGGGAGAGUGGAACUUCUGGUGGAGCGGUGAAAUGCGUAGAUAUCAGAAGGAACACCGGCGGCGAAGGCGACUCUCUGGUCCGUAACUGACGCUGAGUGUGCGAAAGCUAGGGGAGCAAACGGGAUUAGAUACCCCGGUAGUCCUAGCCGUAAAC
RNAcentral lists this ribosomal RNA (452 nucleotides) under uncultured bacterium. RNAcentral describes it as "bacterial SSU rRNA". It matches the Rfam family "Bacterial small subunit ribosomal RNA", at positions 365 to 807 of the family's 1533-position model. The record is from RNAcentral.